This 516-nucleotide ribosomal RNA is filed under the name uncultured bacterium. Its description in RNAcentral is "bacterial SSU rRNA". It matches the Rfam family "Bacterial small subunit ribosomal RNA", at positions 28 to 536 of the family's 1533-position model. The record is from RNAcentral.
GAUGAACGCUAGCGAUAGGCCUAACACAUGCAAGUCGAGGGGCAUCACAUGAAGUAGCAAUACGGAUGGUGGCGACCGGCGCACGGGUGAGUAACACGUAUGCAACCUGCCUUCAACAAGGGGAUAACCCGUUGAAAGACGGACUAAUACCCUAUAACACAGGGGUCCCGCAUGGGAAUAUUUGUUAAAGGACAACCGGUUGAAGAUGGGCAUGCGUUCCAUUAGCUAGUUGGCGGGUAACGGCCCACCAAGGCAACGAUGGAUAGGGGAACUGAGAGGUUUAUCCCCCACACUGGUACUGAGACACGGACCAGACUCCUACGGGAGGCAGCAGUGAGGAAUAUUGGUCAAUGGACGCAAGUCUGAACCAGCCACGUCGCGUGAAGGAAGACGGCCCUACGGGUUGUAAACUUCUUUUAUACGGGAAUAAAGUGCCCCACGCGUGGGGUUUUGCAUGUACCGUAUGAAUAAGGAUCGGCUAACUCCGUGCCAGCAGCCGCGGUAAGUACUGACUCA